This 508-nucleotide ribosomal RNA is filed under the name uncultured bacterium. Its description in RNAcentral is "partial 16S ribosomal RNA". It matches the Rfam family "Bacterial small subunit ribosomal RNA", at positions 28 to 507 of the family's 1533-position model. The record is from RNAcentral.
GACGAACGCUGGCGGCGUGCCUAAUACAUGCAAGUCGAACGCUUCUUUCCUCCCGAGUGCUUGCACUCAAUUGGAAAGAGGGGUGGCGGACGGGUGAGUAACACGUGGGUAACCUACCCAUCAGAGGGGGAUAACACUUGGAAACAGGUGCUAAUACCGCAUAACAGUUUAUGCCGCAUGGCAUAAGAGUGAAAGGCGCUUUCGGGUGUCGCUGAUGGAUGGACCCGCGGUGCAUUAGCUAGUUGGUGAGGUAACGGCUCACCAAGGCCACGAUGCAUAGCCGACCUGAGAGGGUGAUCGGCCACACUGGGACUGAGACACGGCCCAGACUCCUACGGGAGGCAGCAGCAGGGAAUCUUCGGCAAUGGACGAAAGUCUGACCGAGCAACGCCGCGUGAGUGAAGAAGGUUUUCGGAUCGUAAAACUCUGUUGUUAGAGAAGAACAAGGACGUUAGUAACUGAACGUCCCCUGACGGUAUCUAACCAGAAAGCCACGGCUAACUACGUG